RNAcentral lists this small nuclear RNA (299 nucleotides) under Octodon degus (degu). Its description in RNAcentral is "7SK RNA (ENSODEG00000023033.1)". It matches the Rfam family "7SK RNA". Rfam says of the family: 7SK was discovered as an abundant small nuclear RNA in the mid-70s but a possible function has only recently been suggested. Two independent studies have found that 7SK RNA binds the CDK9/cyclin T complex (known as elongation factor P-TEFb). The record is from RNAcentral. Lineage: Eukaryota; Metazoa; Chordata; Mammalia; Rodentia; Octodontidae.
GGAUGUAAGAGUGAUCUGACCCUGACAUCCAUUACCCCAGUGAUUAAGUGGGCUGAUCUGGUUAAUCUGGCUGGACAGCCGGGUGUCCUCUUUCCCUCUCACGGCUCCACGAACGUCUCUCUUGAAGCUGCGUGUGUGGUCGAAGAGGAGGAUUUUCCCGAAAAGAUCAGGACAAGGUAAACUAGUAGCUGCACUUCCCAUCUGGAACCUCUAAACAAGCUCUCAAGGAUAGGUUUGCCGUGGGUCAUCUGUCCACGCUGGCAUUCAUUUCAGCUCAUGAAAUUCCAGAAAUUUUAAUG